Molecule: ribosomal RNA, 509 nt
Filed under: uncultured bacterium
Lineage: Bacteria
Description: bacterial SSU rRNA
Rfam family: Bacterial small subunit ribosomal RNA
Source: RNAcentral
UCGUACGACGAGUUUGAUCAUGGCUCAGAUUGAACGCUGGCGGCAGGCCUAACACAUGCAAGUCGAGCGAGAAAGGUCUUCGGACUGAGUACAGCGGCGGACGGGUGAGUAAAGCGUAGGAAUCUACCUGGUAGUGGGGGAUAACUUGGGGAAACUCAAACUAAUACCGCAUACGCCCUACGGGGGAAAGCGGGGGACCUUCGGGCCUCGCGCUAUCAGAUGAGCCUGCGUAGGAUUAGCUAGUUGGUGAGGUAAAGGCUCACCAAGGCGACGAUCCUUAGCUGGUCUGAGAGGAUGAUCAGCCACACUGGGACUGAGACACGGCCCAGACUCCUACGGGAGGCAGCAGUGGGGAAUAUUGCGCAAUGGGCGAAAGCCUGACGCAGCCAUGCCGCGUGUGUGAAGAAGGCCUUAGGGUUGUAAAGCACUUUCAAUUGGGAAGAAAAGUUGGUCGUUAAUAGCGGCCAGCCCUGACAUUACCUUUAGAAGAAGGACCGGCUAACUCCGUG